RNAcentral lists this long non-coding RNA (569 nucleotides) under Capsella rubella. RNAcentral's name for it is "long non-coding RNA (CRUB_LNC002310)". The record is from RNAcentral. Lineage: Eukaryota; Viridiplantae; Streptophyta; Magnoliopsida; Brassicales; Brassicaceae.
ACACAACAACGCAAGCAUCCAAUAGAAAAGGGAGAAACAGAGAUGCGUGUGUUCGCAAAUUGCAUAGUGAAAACUGGUGAGAAAAGGUUAAACCUUUGGAAGCUUUUCUCAAUUUUUUUUUAAUUUGUCUUUCACUUUACACGUUUCUUUGAUGUUACUUGUUUAUUACAACGAAACACUUUACACAUUCAAUAAGAUUUUAGUGAAAUAGAUUUAUCUUCACAGGUGAUGUAUAGUGUUCUAUUCUUAUAUUUUGAGUGUUUUUUAUUAAGGUUGAGAUGGGUUUCUCUGUAUUUGUUUAGUAACUUUUUUUUGGUCAUUUCAGAUUUCAGGUAGUGUUUGUGAAACGACACGGUUUGGAUGAGUUUUGGACACUCUUAAGCAUUUCGAGUCAAGGGAAGAAAAGAUUUGGAUCGAAUCUUCCUUCCACUAGAAUGACUGACAGUCUAGUGCUGGAAUAAUCAACCGAACUGAACCGAGAUUUUGGUUUUUGUUUGGUUUGGUUUCUGUUAUGGGUUAUUAACCGAUCGGUAAUCUAUGAAAAUUAGUUUGGUUAAUCGAGAACUUCG